CCCUUAGAUGAUCUGGGCUGCACGCGCGCUACACUGACCCUAACAAUGAGCAACUGUCUGGCCUGAGAUGGCUGGGUAGCCUUUUCAACCCAUGUCAUGAUUGGGCUAGAUUUUUGUAAGUCUUGAUCUCUAACGAGGAAUCCCUAGUAUGCGUGAAUCAUCAAUCCAUGCAGAUUAUGUCCCUGCCCUUUGUACACACCGCCCGUCGCUCCUACUGUUUGGGUGAUCCGGUGAGCUGUUCGGCCAUAGCAAUGUUUCUUGAGCAGGGCAAUGAAUGUUUCGCAAACCUUGCCACUUAGAGGAAGGAGAAGUCGUAACA
Molecule: ribosomal RNA, 319 nt
Filed under: uncultured eukaryote
Lineage: Eukaryota
Description: partial 18S ribosomal RNA
Rfam family: Eukaryotic small subunit ribosomal RNA
Source: RNAcentral